This is a long non-coding RNA of Lolium rigidum, 504 nucleotides long. RefSeq lists it as uncharacterized. The record is from RefSeq and is a predicted model, not a curated record. Lineage: Eukaryota; Viridiplantae; Streptophyta; Magnoliopsida; Poales; Poaceae. The transcript is spliced from 3 exons.
UCGACAAAUGCAGAAGUGUCAUUUCUCUCCUGCUUUAUUUCUACCUAUGCGGAUGGUGGGGCCUAUUCCUUGUAGGCUUGGAUCCCUUCAGAGAUACUGUUACAACAAUUGUUGACCAGGAAGUAUUUGGUUCAACUUUGGAUAAGAGAAGAGAGAUGAAAUUAUGGAAGAGGAGAUGUGAGACUAUCAACAAGUUAGGUCACUCAAUUCAUGUUUAUUCAAUUUAUUGGAGGUUGAAUGGUGCAUUGUGCUAUUAUGUUUUUAACAAGUUCUUGCUAGAACUUGGAAGAGGGAUGACGCUACAUGUAAGAAGAGCAAAUGCUACAUGGGCUCAGGAACUACCAACAUCAAGGUGUAACGACUUGCCAGACGUUGCUCUUGAAGAACCCAUGUGUGGUGAGCCUGCGGGACUUUUGUCCAUGGUACCAGGUUCGUUUUUUCGAGAGUUGUAGGCUUGUAGCUACUGUAAUUGGGUAGUUUUGUUUUUGUUGCUACCAGAAGCAC